GGGAGCGUAGCUCAGCUGGUUAGAGCACACGACUGAUAAUCGUGAGGUCGAUGGUUCGAGUCCAUUCGUUCCCACCA
RNAcentral lists this transfer RNA (77 nucleotides) under Mycoplasma mobile 163K. RNAcentral describes it as "tRNA-Ile (GAT) (tRNA-Ile-GAT-1-1)". It matches the Rfam family "tRNA". Rfam says of the family: Transfer RNA (tRNA) molecules are approximately 80 nucleotides in length. Their secondary structure includes four short double-helical elements and three loops (D, anti-codon, and T loops). The record is from RNAcentral. Lineage: Bacteria; Bacillati; Mycoplasmatota; Mycoplasmoidales; Metamycoplasmataceae.